Molecule: long non-coding RNA, 656 nt
Organism: Coregonus clupeaformis (lake whitefish)
Lineage: Eukaryota; Metazoa; Chordata; Actinopteri; Salmoniformes; Salmonidae
Exons: 3
Source: RefSeq, a predicted model, not a curated record
UUCACAUAGCCCUCCCACAAUAUAUCUGUCAUAGAUCUCAACAUUUCACACUCCAAAAUUAACACGGAAUCAGCUUGAAUUCAGUUUGAUGUCCUAAUAUGAAGCAUUCAGACAUUCUAAGGCUGCUCACAUAGUAGCACUGAUUACAUCCCUUUCCCUAGAUGUGCAUUUGUAAUGAAUGUGAUGAACAGUCAUUCCAAUAUGAUGUAUGGUAUUUCAUUAAAUGAUGUAAUGAGACAGAAAUUCUAUGAACAAUUAUAACUAAUGCAUUUUGUUUUACAUGAUCAUUAUUCAUGACUCUCCAUCUUGGAUAAUGGAUGAUCUGAAGACCGUUCAGUGUAUUUACAACAUGAGACCCAAGAGGACAAGUUGAAGAGGGAGGCAUCAGCUGUUGAGCUUGAGUUGAAGAUGGAAAAAGAAUUAAAAGAGAUAUUAAGAGAUGAGAUGAUGAAACAACUAGAGGAGAAAGACAAACAACUGGAUGAUAUGACCCAGGAAGUGAGAGAGAAAGAGAGACUACUGGAGGGAAAAGAUAAUGAAAUAAAGGAGAAGAAGGUUGAACUAGGAGACAAAGACAAGAAAAUAAAGGAAAAAGACCAUCAACUAGAGGAGAGAAACUAUAGACUGGAUGAUAUGACCCAGGAAGUGAGAGAGAG